RNAcentral lists this long non-coding RNA (211 nucleotides) under Elaeis guineensis (African oil palm). Its description in RNAcentral is "long non-coding RNA (EGUI_LNC007120)". Lineage: Eukaryota; Viridiplantae; Streptophyta; Magnoliopsida; Arecales; Arecaceae. The record is from RNAcentral.
GGACUUGUGCAAUCUGAAUAUAAACUUGUAUAAUUUUAAUACUACUUGUGUAACCUGAAUAUGAACAUGCGUAACCAGUUUACCUAACCAUAAAAACUGUCUUAACAUAAAUCUGUGUAAUCAAUAAUAAAAAAUGGAUAACUAGACAACCGACUGGCACAUAACUUGCAGCUCAACAGUUGGCCCGACACAUAACCAGACAACCGAUUGA